GAUGAACGCUGGCGGCGUGCUUAACACAUGCAAGUCGAACGGUGAAGGCGGAGCUUGCUCUGCUGGAUCAGUGGCGAACGGGUGAGUAACACGUGAGCAAUCUGCCCCUGACUCUGGGAUAAGCGCUGGAAACGGCGUCUAAUACUGGAUACGAGCUGCGAAGGCAUCUUCAGCAGCUGGAAAGAACUUCGGUCAGGGAUGAGCUCGCGGCCUAUCAGCUUGUUGGUGAGGUAACGGCUCACCAAGGCGUCGACGGGUAGCCGGCCUGAGAGGGCGACCGGCCACACUGGGACUGAGACACGGCCCAGACUCCUACGGGAGGCAGCAGUGGGGAAUAUUGCACAAUGGGCGAAAGCCUGAUGCAGCAACGCCGCGUGAGGGACGACGGCCUUCGGGUUGUAAACCUCUUUUAGCAGGGAAGAAGCGAAAGUGACGGUACCUGCAGAAAAAGCGCCGGCUAACUACGUG
Molecule: ribosomal RNA, 468 nt
Filed under: uncultured bacterium
Lineage: Bacteria
Description: partial 16S ribosomal RNA
Rfam family: Bacterial small subunit ribosomal RNA
Source: RNAcentral